CAUUGAAUCACUGGUCCCCAUACGAUCACUGAAGUUAAGCAACAUUGGGCCUGAUCAGUACCUGGAUGAAUGACUGCUUAGGAAUAUCAGGUGCUGUAAG
Non-coding RNA from Acanthosepion pharaonis, 100 nucleotides. The record is from the annotation of a GenBank genome assembly. Lineage: Eukaryota; Metazoa; Mollusca; Cephalopoda; Sepiida; Sepiidae.